AAAGUAGAGGUUGCGCUGCUUAAGAGUAAGUAUCCGGAUAUGUGUGGCAUAGGAGAAGGAUAUUGAAAGGAAUCGGCGCCGAAACGGAAAGAAUCCACCAUUCUUUUUUGUUGGGCAUAGGGUGAAGAACCCUAUGACUGUCGCUUGAAAAGGCGGGGUGCUACUGAA
Molecule: non-coding RNA, 168 nt
Filed under: bovine gut metagenome
Description: Lysine riboswitch
Rfam family: Lysine riboswitch aptamer
About the family: Riboswitches are metabolite binding domains within certain messenger RNAs that serve as precision sensors for their corresponding targets. Allosteric rearrangement of mRNA structure is mediated by ligand binding, and this results in modulation of gene expression. This family includes riboswitches that sense lysine in a number of genes involved in lysine metabolism, including lysC.
Source: RNAcentral